AUGAACCUGAGAGUUUGAUCCUGGCUCAGAGCGAACGCUGGCGGAAUGCUUAACACAUGCAAGUCGCACGGGGGCUUCGGCUCUAGUGGCGGACGGGUGAGUAACGCGUAGGAACGUGUCCUGGGAUGGGGGAUAACGCUGGGAAACUGGCGCUAAUACCGCAUGUCUGCUGAGGCAGAAAGCCUUUGGGUGUCUUGGGAGCGGCCUGCGUCCGAUUAGCUAGUUGGUGGGGUAAAGGCUUACCAAGGCGACGAUCGGUAGCUGGUCUGAGAGGACGAUCAGCCACACUGGGACUGAGACACGGCCCAG
This 309-nucleotide ribosomal RNA is filed under the name Belnapia rosea. Its description in RNAcentral is "bacterial SSU rRNA". It matches the Rfam family "Bacterial small subunit ribosomal RNA", at positions 1 to 334 of the family's 1533-position model. Lineage: Bacteria; Pseudomonadati; Pseudomonadota; Alphaproteobacteria; Acetobacterales; Roseomonadaceae. The record is from RNAcentral.